This 230-nucleotide ribosomal RNA is filed under the name Proteus mirabilis. RNAcentral describes it as "partial 16S ribosomal RNA". It matches the Rfam family "Bacterial small subunit ribosomal RNA", at positions 563 to 787 of the family's 1533-position model. Lineage: Bacteria; Pseudomonadati; Pseudomonadota; Gammaproteobacteria; Enterobacterales; Morganellaceae. The record is from RNAcentral.
GCGUAAGCGCACGCAGGCGGUCAAGUUAAGUCAGAUGUGAAAGCCCCGAGCUUAACUUGGGAAUUGCAUCUGAAACUGGUUGGCUAGAGUCUUGUAGAGGGGGGUAGAAUUCCAUGUGUAGCGGUGAAAUGCGUAGAGAUGUGGAGGAAUACCGGUGGCGAAGGCGGCCCCCUGGACAAAGACUGACGCUCAGGUGCGAAAGCGUGGGGAGCAAACAGGAUUAGAUACCC